AGUAACGGCGAGUGAAGCGGCAAAAGCUCAGAUUUGAAAUCUGGCGUCAUANUGGCGUCCGAGUUGUAAUCUGUAGAGGAGUGYUCGAGUGUNNNNNUGGCUUAAGUUCCUUGGAACAGGACGUCAUAGAGGGUGAGAAYCCCGUUAACGGCCUAUGUCUUAURCUCAUGUGAGUCUCCUUCAACGAGUCGAGUUGUUUGGGAAUGCAGCUCUAAAUGGKUGGUAAAUUCCAUCUAAAGCUAAAUACUGGCAAGAGACCGAUAGCGCACAAGUAGAGUGAUCGAAAGAUGAAAAGAACUCUGAACAGAGAGUUAAAUAGYACGUGAAAUYGUUGAAAGGGAAGCACUUGCNACCAGACNCGYUYGUAGYYGAUCANCCUCCAUUUUUGGUGGUGCACUCGGYURCAAGUGGGUCAGCAUCAGUUACRRUGGUGGGAAAAAGACNUGGGGAAUGUGGCUUCUUUCGGGGAGUGUUAUAGCCCUCGGUGYAAUGCCACCUAAUGUGACUGAGGCCCGCGCUUYGGCGAGGAUGCUGRCAUAAUGGUCGUAAGUGACCCGUCUUGAAACACGGACCAAGGAGUCUAACAUCUAUGCGAGUGUUUGGGCGUAGAAACCCUUACGCG
RNAcentral lists this ribosomal RNA (622 nucleotides) under Phylloscypha badioides. RNAcentral describes it as "Peziza badioides partial large subunit ribosomal RNA". The record is from RNAcentral. Lineage: Eukaryota; Fungi; Ascomycota; Pezizomycetes; Pezizales; Pezizaceae.